Molecule: ribosomal RNA, 290 nt
Filed under: uncultured bacterium
Lineage: Bacteria
Description: partial 16S ribosomal RNA
Rfam family: Bacterial small subunit ribosomal RNA
Source: RNAcentral
GUGGAUUAGAUACCCUAGUAGUCCACGCCGUAAACGAUGGGCACUAGGCGUCGGGGGGAGCGACCCUCCCGGUGCCGUAGCUAACGCUCUAAGUGCCCCGCCUGGGGAGUACGGCCGCAAGGCUGAAACUCAAAGGAAUUGACGGGGGCCCGCACAAGCGGUGGAGCAUGUGGUUUAAUUCGAAGCAACGCGAAGAACCUUACCUGGGCUUGACAUGUACGGGAAAGCCGGUGGAAACACCGGGCCUCCUUCGGGACUCGUACACAGGUGCUGCAUGGUUGUCGUCAGCU